Molecule: long non-coding RNA, 1010 nt
Filed under: Elaeis guineensis (African oil palm)
Lineage: Eukaryota; Viridiplantae; Streptophyta; Magnoliopsida; Arecales; Arecaceae
Description: long non-coding RNA (EGUI_LNC026854)
Source: RNAcentral
CUUUGGCGCGAAAGAUACAACUCGAACCCCAUCAAACUUCUCGUAUUACUCGGUUUUGACAUGAACCCCUUAUUAAAGUCGGCGGAAGCCCCAUAGAAACGAAUCCGAGUUGAGCUCCCGGAAGAACGAGAGAGAGAAUGCAGGGAAAAGGGGAAGCAUUCCACUUUAGACAAAUUAUCUCCAAAGGUACUCCCGCUCCCUCUUUCUCCGCUCCCUCCCUCCUCUCUUUACAUGAAUUCUUCGAUCUUUCUGCAUUGCCCUGGAUCAAAUCUUGCCCUAGAAGGAAGCGAAGCAGCGAAGAUUUCUUGGGGUUUGAGAAUUAGGUUUCUUGUUUUCAUGAGAUUUAGAGUUCUUGGAGUCGAGAAGAUCUUCUUGGCUCUGUGAGAUCGGGGAUUCUUGGUUCGAUGAGAUUUUGGGUUCUUGGAACAAUGUGGAAGGAUAUCCGAUUUUGGAAUAUUGAUGGAGGAUUCAAGAAGUGAUUCUUGGGAGGAUAUUUGAUUGGGAGAACUCAUGUUGAAGGAGAAGGGAUUCUUUUAUGGAAUAGUUGGAUUGGAGAAGUAUUUGGAUGAUAAUGUGGAGUAUUGAAGCUAGCAAGGUAGAUUGGUACCUUAUGGUACGGAAUACAAUCAAACAGAGGUAGUGAGAGAUAAAUGGGUUCUCUGUGAACAUUUCACUGUUUCUGAAAGGGUUGGAAAUGCCAUCAUCCAAGGUGAGUAAUUUGCAAGCUUUAUUUCUUCAAGAAAUGGUAGUUGACACCAUCAUUUUUUGCAACUCGAAGUUAUUUUCAUGAUUAUUGUUAUUUUCGUUAAACUUUUAUCUAAAUACAAUGAAAACUUGCCAAUAGAAAAAGGAUUUGUGAGCCUCUGAAAAGCGCUACGUUGAUUAAAUCUCUAAAUCUAUAGCCUUAGGCUCAGAUUAAUUUCCUAGCCAAGUUGAAGGUCCUGCUAUUUAAAUGGAUUUAAGUUAUUUAUACCUUCAAAUGUUGGGGCUGUGGAUGAUCACCAGAGCAU